UCAUGGGAAGGCUCAGAAAAACAGGG
RNAcentral lists this non-coding RNA (26 nucleotides) under Homo sapiens (human). The record is from RNAcentral. Lineage: Eukaryota; Metazoa; Chordata; Mammalia; Primates; Hominidae.